Long non-coding RNA from Salvia splendens (bonfire salvia), 924 nucleotides. RefSeq lists it as uncharacterized. The record is from RefSeq and is a predicted model, not a curated record. NCBI's taxonomy places the organism in Eukaryota, Viridiplantae, Streptophyta, Magnoliopsida, Lamiales, Lamiaceae. The transcript is spliced from 3 exons.
ACUCCGGAACUUCCCUACUGGCCAGAACACUUAUCCUGCACACUUUGAGCAACUGUUUUGCAAAUAUAAUCAUUUAAACCUGUCAUACUGACCAGUAACCGAGGCCUAGAAUACGACUUAUCACAUUUAAUAGAAGAUCCAAAAUUGGAUCUUUGAGAUCUUGUAAAGAUAUUAAAAAGAUAUGUGUCAUUAAUACAGGAUCUUAAAAAAGAUACGCGUCAUUAAUACAAAAUCUUAAAAAGAUACGCGUAAUUAAUAAGCUUAGCCACUUGCCAUUUUUUUAUGCAUAUGUACACGCCACUUGUCAUCUUAUAUUUAUAUGUAUAUGUACUUUUAUGCAAAUCUCUCUCUCUACUCCCUAAAUAUCUCCCACCCUUCCCUCUAUAUUAUUUCUUUUCCAAAAACCGUUCUCUCUAUCUCUGCAAUGAAGAAGACAAGGUUUUUCCUCUCAGCCUUAAUUCAAGAAACCGAGAACCCAACUCGACAAGGGGAAACUACCGUUCAUUCGCUCAGAAUUUGCUCAAAAUCCGUUCAAGGCUAUCUACGUGAGUUAAGGGUGGAGUCAGGAAAAUUCAAGUUAAGGAGUUUUAAGCGAACGAGGUCGUGAAGAGGCGUCUACAGUGGGAAGAGAAGAGAGAGGACAAAAGACAUGAUGUUUCUGUCACAUCAAUUAGGAUUGGCGUCUCGUCCGCAGUACAUGCAGCAGGUGGGAUGCAGUGGCGGCCUUACAAAAGGUCGAGUUUGCCCUUUCAAGCCCUGAGGGUAUUAUGGUCCGGAAAAAUAAGGUUUGUGAUUAUAUAUUUUGUUAGAUACCUGUGAUGGGAUUUUUAAAUGUUAUGGGUCUCUGCUGUUACAAGGCUAAAAGUUAGGGACCUUUUGUACCGUUCAUUCUAAUUUUAAAAUUAUAGCAAAAAAUUUUAAUUA